This 253-nucleotide ribosomal RNA is filed under the name uncultured bacterium. RNAcentral's name for it is "partial 16S ribosomal RNA". It matches the Rfam family "Bacterial small subunit ribosomal RNA", at positions 524 to 776 of the family's 1533-position model. The record is from RNAcentral.
UACAGAGGUCCCAAGCGUUGUUCGGAUUCACUGGGCGUAAAGGGUGCGUAGGUGGCAUGGCCAGUUUGAUGUGAAAGCUCAGGGCUUAACCCUGAAAUGGCAUUGAAUACUGCUGUGCUGGAGGUUUGGAGGGGGGACUGGAAUUCUUGGUGUAGCAGUGAAAUGCGUAGAUAUCAAGAGGAACACCAGUGGCGAAGGCGAGUCCCUGGACAACACCUGACACUGAGGCACGAAAGCGUGGGGAGCAAACAGG